RNAcentral lists this ribosomal RNA (253 nucleotides) under uncultured bacterium. RNAcentral's name for it is "partial 16S ribosomal RNA". It matches the Rfam family "Bacterial small subunit ribosomal RNA", at positions 524 to 776 of the family's 1533-position model. The record is from RNAcentral.
UACGGAGGGGGCUAGCGUUGUUCGGAAUUACUGGGCGUAAAGCGCACGUAGGCGGCUUUGUAAGUCAGAGGUGAAAGCCCGGAGCUCAACUCCGGAAUUGCCUUUGAGACUGCAUCGCUUGAAUCCAGGAGAGGUGAGUGGAAUUCCCAGUGUAGAGGUGAAAUUCGUAGAUAUUGGGAAGAACACCGGUGGCGAAGGCGGCUCACUGGCUCAUUACUGACGCUCAGGCGCGACAGCGUGGGGAUCAAACAGG